GAGUUUGAUCCUGGCUCAGGAUGAACGCUGGCGGCGUGCCUAACACAUGCAAGUCGAACGAAGUGCUAUUAAUGAAACUUCGGUGGAUUUAAAAGUAUCUUAGUGGCGGACGGGUGAGUAACGCGUGGGUAACCUGCCUUAUACAGGGGGAUAACAGUCAGAAAUGACUGCUAAUACCGCAUAAGCGCACAGAGCUGCAUGGCUCAGUGUGAAAAACUCCGGUGGUAUAAGAUGGACCCGCGUUGGAUUAGCUAGUUGGUGAGGUAACGGCCUACCAAGGCGACGAUCCAUAGCCGGCCUGAGAGGGUGAACGGCCACAUUGGGACUGAGACACGGCCCAGACUCCUACGGGAGGCAGCAGUGGGGAAUAUUGCACAAUGGGCGAAAGCCUGACCCAGCAACGCCGCGUGAAGGAAGAAGGUCUUCGGAUUGUAAACUUCUUUUAUCAGGGACGAAGUAAGUGACGGUACCUGAUGAAUAAGCCACGGCUAACUACGUGCCAGCCGCCGCGGUAAUAC
RNAcentral lists this ribosomal RNA (518 nucleotides) under uncultured bacterium. RNAcentral describes it as "bacterial SSU rRNA". It matches the Rfam family "Bacterial small subunit ribosomal RNA", at positions 9 to 526 of the family's 1533-position model. The record is from RNAcentral.